UUCUCGUGGAAUAAAUUCUAG
This 21-nucleotide non-coding RNA is filed under the name Caenorhabditis elegans. The record is from RNAcentral. Lineage: Eukaryota; Metazoa; Nematoda; Chromadorea; Rhabditida; Rhabditidae.